This 73-nucleotide transfer RNA is filed under the name Chloroflexota bacterium. RNAcentral describes it as "Chloroflexi bacterium tRNA-Ile". It matches the Rfam family "tRNA". From Rfam's summary of the family: Transfer RNA (tRNA) molecules are approximately 80 nucleotides in length. Lineage: Bacteria; Bacillati; Chloroflexota. The record is from RNAcentral.
GGCCGUGUAGCACAUCGGUAUAGUGCAAUCGCCUUAUAAGCGAUAGAACGCAGUUCAACUCUGCGCGGGGCUA